Molecule: ribosomal RNA, 253 nt
Filed under: uncultured bacterium
Lineage: Bacteria
Description: partial 16S ribosomal RNA
Rfam family: Bacterial small subunit ribosomal RNA
Source: RNAcentral
UACAGAGGGGGCAAGCGUUGUUCGGAAUUACUGGGCGUAAAGCGCGUGUAGGCGGGUCUUUAAGUCAGGGGUGAAAUGCCAAGGCUCAACCUUGGAACUGCCUUUGAUACUGGAGACCUUGAGUCCGGGAGAGGUGAGUGGAAUUGCGAGUGUAGAGGUGAAAUUCGUAGAUAUUCGCAAGAACACCAGUGGCGAAGGCGGCUCACUGGCCCGGAACUGACGCUGAGACGCGAAAGCGUGGGGAGCAAACAGG